Molecule: ribosomal RNA, 451 nt
Filed under: uncultured bacterium
Lineage: Bacteria
Description: bacterial SSU rRNA
Rfam family: Bacterial small subunit ribosomal RNA
Source: RNAcentral
GAUGAACGCUAGCUACAGGCUUAACACAUGCAAGUCGAGGGGCAGCAUGAACAAAGCUUGCUUUGUUUGAUGGCGACCGGCGCACGGGUGCGUAACACGUAUCCAAUCUGCCCGCGGCUCGGGGAUAGCCCAUCGAAAGAUGGAUUAAUACCCGAUGGUGUGGUUUCUCCGCAUGGGGUUUCCACUAAAGGUUUUCCGGCCGCGGAUGAGGAUGCGUAUGAUUAGGUAGUAGGCGGGGUAACGGCCCACCUAGCCUUCGAUCAUUAGGGGUUCUGAGAGGAAGGUCCCCCACACUGGAACUGAGACACGGUCCAGACUCCUACGGGAGCAGCAGUGAGGAAUAUUGGUCAAUGGGCGAGAGCCUGAACCAGCCAAGUAGCGUGAAGGAGACUGCCCUAUGGGUUGUAAACUUCUUUUGUCGGGAAUAAAGUGCAGUAUGUAUACUGUUUUG